ACGAACGCUGGCGGCGUGCUUAACCCCUGCCAGUCGAACGGAAAGGCCCCUUUGGGGGUACUCGAGUGGCGACCGGGUGAGUAACACGUGAGUAACCUGCCCUUGACUUCGGGAUAACUUCAGGAAACUGGGGCUAAUACCGGAUAGGAAUCCUUGCUGCAUGGUGGGGGUUGGAAAGCUUCGGCGGUUUUGGAUGGACUCGCGGCUUAUCAGCUUGUUGGUGGGGUAGUGGCUUACCAAGGCUUUGACGGGUAGCCGGCCUGAGAGGGCGACCGGCCACAUUGGGACUGAGAUACGGCCCAGACUCCUACGGGAGGCAGCAGUGGGGAAUAUUGCACAAUGGGCGGAAGCCUGAUGCAGCAACGCCGCGUGCGGGAUGACGGCCUUCGGGUUGUAAACCGCUUUCAGCAGGGGCGAAGCUUGUGGUGACGGUACCUGCAGAAGAAGCACCGGCUAACUACGU
This 463-nucleotide ribosomal RNA is filed under the name uncultured bacterium. RNAcentral describes it as "partial 16S ribosomal RNA". It matches the Rfam family "Bacterial small subunit ribosomal RNA", at positions 29 to 506 of the family's 1533-position model. The record is from RNAcentral.